GACGAACGCUGGCGGCGUGCUUAACACAUGCAAGUCGAACGGUGAAGGUGGAGCUUGCUCCGCCGGAUCAGUGGCGAACGGGUGAGUAACACGUGGGCAACCUGCCCCUCACUUCGGGAUAACUCCGGGAAACCGGGGCUAAUACCGGAUACGACCUCCUUGGGCAUCCUUGGAGGUGGAAAGUUUUUCGGUGAGGGAUGGGCCCGCGGCCUAUCAGCUUGUUGGUGAGGUAGUGGCUCACCAAGGCGACGACGGGUAGCCGGCCUGAGAGGGCGACCGGCCACACUGGGACUGAGACACGGCCCAGACUCCUACGGGAGGCAGCAGUGGGGAAUAUUGCGCAAUGGGCGAAAGCCUGACGCAGCAACGCCGCGUGCGGGAUGAAGGCCUUCGGGUUGUAAACCGCUUUCAGCAGGGAAGAAGCCGCAAGGUGACGGUACCUGCAGAAGAAGCACCGGCUAACUACGUGCCAGCCGCCGCCGUAA
RNAcentral lists this ribosomal RNA (485 nucleotides) under uncultured bacterium. RNAcentral describes it as "partial 16S ribosomal RNA". It matches the Rfam family "Bacterial small subunit ribosomal RNA", at positions 28 to 523 of the family's 1533-position model. The record is from RNAcentral.